This 446-nucleotide ribosomal RNA is filed under the name uncultured bacterium. RNAcentral describes it as "partial 16S ribosomal RNA". It matches the Rfam family "Bacterial small subunit ribosomal RNA", at positions 330 to 792 of the family's 1533-position model. The record is from RNAcentral.
GCCAGACUCCUACGGGAGGCAGCAGUGGGGAAUAUUGCACAAUGGGGGGAACCCUGAUGCAGCGACGCCGCGUGGGUGAAGGAGCGUUUCGGCGCGUAAAGCCCUAUCGGCAGGGAAGAAGGAGGACGGUACCUGACUAAGAAGCCCCGGCUAACUACGUGCCAGCAGCCGCGGUAAUACGUAGGGGGCAAGCGUUAUCCGGUUUUACUGGGUGUAAAGGGGGCGCAGACGGCAGCGCAAGCCAGGAGUGAAAGCCCGGGGCCCAACCCCGGGACUGCUCUUGGAACUGCGCGGCUGGAGUGCAGGAGGGGCAGGCGGAAUUCCUGGUGUAGCGGUGAAAUGCGUAGAUAUCAGGAGGAACACCGGUGGCGAAGGCGGCCUGCUGGACUGCGACUGACGUUGAGGCCCGAAAGCGUGGGGAGCAAACAGGACUAGAUACCCUGGUA